Molecule: long non-coding RNA, 1834 nt
Organism: Megalopta genalis
Lineage: Eukaryota; Metazoa; Arthropoda; Insecta; Hymenoptera; Halictidae
Source: RefSeq, a predicted model, not a curated record
CCGGUGUACAUUACUAUGAAUUCAACGGUCGUUGAGAUUGGUCUUCUUGCUCACACGAAAGUGAUCAUUUUGUGUUAUUGUAGUUUAUUACCAGUUUAUUCAUUUUUAGUGUCAAGUGUUAUUAUUAGUUACAUUAAUAAUUAGUGAUAUAUAAAUUGUGACAAUUAAUAACGUUAUUUUUAAUCGUUUUACACUCUAAAUACAUAUACAUACAUAUAUUUACUAUUAAUAUUAUGUCAUCAAGAAAAAAAUAUACAUUAUUAAAUAUGCAGCAACGCUUGGAUGUUUUCAAGGAUCUUCGAGGAACAGGAUUGCCAUCUAAACAAAUUUCAAAUAAAUAUGGCGUCUCCGUCAAAACAAUCCACGAGAUUCGUAAAAAUGCUUCGAAAAUCGAUGAGUUUGUAGAUAAAAGUAAAUACGAACUUAAGCGACAAAGAAUAGCAGAGCCAGUAUAUGAUGAAGUAGAUAAACAAUUGUUGGCAUGAUUCGUACAAAGAACACUUGGUGAUCGUAUAACCGAUAAUCUCAUAUGAGAAAAGGCGACGAAAGUAAAAAAAAUUUGCCGUCAUGUUUGCGAUUUAAUGUGUGAAUCGUGGCUGGUUAAUAAAAUUUAAAAGAGGUUAUGGGAUACGCUUCGGAAAGAAGUACAGAGAGAAAGCUAGCGCUGAUCAAGAUGGAACAGAUGCUUUCGUAGUUAAUUAAAAAAGAAAUAAUAGAGGAAGAAAAUAUAGGUAUGGAAAAUGUUUACAACAUGGACGAAAGUUUCUUCCGAAGAAAACACUGGCCGGAGAAGAAGAAAAAAAUCUUAGUGGACAUAAGGCGAAAAAAGAUAGAAUUACAAUUGGUUAUGAGAUUAUGCCUAUUGUAAUUUACAAAUAUAAAAACUCAAGAGCUUCGAAACACGAAGUUUCAUUAUCUAUAAUUUUUAAAUCGCAGACAAAAGAAUGGACGGACAAAACAUUAUUUUUAAAUUGAUUUGAAAACCAUUUCAAACUAUCUGUGAAACGAUAUCAGGAGGAAAAACAAAUAUCAGGGAAAGUUAUCCUGUUGUUAGAUAAUUGUGAAGUCUAUAAAGUUUCGCCACAAAAAGAUGAAGAUUUAAAAAUUAUGUAUUUACCAUACAAUACAAUAUCUAUUCUUUGACCGAUGGAUCAAGGGAUCAUAGAGAAAACAAAAAGAGUUUUCCGCUAGAAACUCCUGCAACGUUUUAACGUUUUAACGUAUGAUGGAGAAAUAUAGGAGAAAUAUGGAGAAAUGAAUUUUAUGUCGACUACAAAAUAAAAAAACUGCAUUGACAUUUUAUCCGAAUCCUGGUCGGAAGUUACACAAAAAGAUAUUAAAAAUGCCUCGAAUAGAAUUAUUAAUCCUGCCAGUAGCUCCAUUCAGUCGAAAAUAAGAGAGCUUUAACCUGAUUGGCAAGACAUGAUAAGUGAGAUCACAGGACAACAAUUCGCCCCGGCAUAUGUUACACAAUUUUUAUUAAACUGUGAUGAAGCAGAAAGAAAGGACGAAGACAUAGAAAUAAAAGAAGAAACGGCAGAACUUCAAGAAGAAGCGCAAGAAUUUGUGAAAAAGCACCAGCUUGCAUACAAUGCAUGGUGCAGGGAAUAAAGAUAUUUUUCUUAGGCAAGGAAAAUUAAAUAAGGAAUAGAGGAAAACCAUCACCGUAGGCCACGAUACUAGACGAUUCCAUGGAUGAUACACAACAAAACAAUUUAAUGUAGAAUAUAAUUUUACACUAUAACAAUGUGUAUUUUAUUUAUAUAAUCACAGCGAUAAUAGAAUCAAAUGAAUUAUACAUUAAGUAUUAAGUAAAUAAAUGUAAUCGAAAUUA